GGUUUUUCUCUUGUUGAUGUGAUCUAUCAUGUUGAUUGUUUUAUGAGUGUUGAACCAACCUUGCAUCUCAGGGAUAAACCCCAGUUGGUCGUGGUGAAUAAUCCUCUUAAUGUAUUGUUGGAUCCUAUUGGCUAGUAUCUUGGUGAGAAUUUUUACAUCCAUGUUCAUCAGGGAUAUUGAUCUAUAAUCCUCCUUUUUGUUGGGGUCUUUGCUGGUUUUGGAAUCAUGGUGAUUCUGGCCUCAUAAAACAAGUUUGGGUAUAUUCCAUCCCUUUCUAUCUUUCAAAACAGCUUUAGUAGAAUAGGUAUUACUUCUUUAAGCAUUUGAUAGAAUUCCCCUGGGAAGCCAUCUGGCACUGGACUUUUGUGUCUUGGGAGGUUUUUGAUGAGUGCUUCAAUUUCCUUGCUGGUUAUUGGCCUGUUCAGGUUUUCUAUUUCUUCCUGUUCCAGUUUUGGUAGUUUGUGGUUUUCCAGAAAUGCGUCCAUUUCUUCUAGAUUGCCUAAUUUAUUGGUGUAUAGCUGCUCAUAAUAUGUUUUAAAAAUCGUUUAUAUUUCCUUGGUAUUGGUUGUGGUCUCUCCUCUUUCAUGAUUUUAUUAAUUUGAGUCUUUUCUCUUUUGUUUUUAAUAAGGCUGGCUAAUGGUUUAUGUAUCUUAUUAAUUCUUUCAAAGAACCAACUCCUGGUUUUGUUGAUCUGUUCUACAGUUCUUCUGGUCUCGAUUUCAUUGAGUUCUGCUCUAGUCUUUAUUUCUUUUCUUCUGCUUGGUGUAGGCUUUACUUGCUAUUCUUUCUCCAGUUCCUUUAGGUGUGAGGUUAGCUUGUGUAUUUUUUUCCCAAUUUUUUGAGGGAGGCUUGUAUUGCGAUGUAUUUCCCUUUUAGGACUGCUUUUGCUGUAUCCCAAAGAUUUUGAAUGAUUGUAUCUUCAUUUUCAUUAGUUUCCAUGAAUCUUUUUAAUUCUUCUCUAAUUUUUGGUUGACCCAUUUAUCUUUUAGUAGGAUGCUCUUUAACCUCCAUGUGUUUGAGUUUCUCCCCAAUUUCUUCUUGUGAUUGAGUUCUAGUUUCAAAGCAUUGUGGUCUGAAAAUAUGCAGGGGAUUUCCCCAAUCUUUUGGAAUCAGUUGAGAUGUGAUUUGUGACCCAGUAUGUAGUCUAUUCUGGAGAAAGUUCCAUGUGUACUUGAAAAGAAUGUGUAUUCAGUUGCAUUCAGAUGGAAAGUUCUGUAUAUAUCUGUGAAAUCUAUUUGGUCCAGUGUAUUAUUUAAGGCCCUGGUUUCUUUGGUGAUGUUCUGCUUACUUCUGUCAUUUGCUGAAAGUGGGGUAUUGAACUCUCCUGCUAUUAGUGUAUUAUUAUCUAAGUAUUUCUUUACUUUGGUUAUUAAUUGCUUAAUAUACUUGGCAGCUCCCACAUUAGGGGCAUAAAUAUUCAUGAUUGUUAAGUCUUCUUGUUGGAUAGACCCUUUAAGUAUGAUACAGCAUCCCUCUUCGUCUUUUACUACAGUCUUUGGUAUAAACUUUAAUUUAUCUGAUAUGAGGAUUGCUACCCUAGCUUUCUUUUGAGGACCAUUUGAAUGGUAAAUGAUUCUCCAUCCCUUCAUUUUCAGGCUGGAGGUGUUCUUAGGUCUAAGAUGAGUCUCUUGUAGACACAUAUAGAUGGGUCUUGCUUUUUUAUCCAGUCCGAUACUUUGCGUCUUCUGAUGGGAUUAUUUAGCCCAUUCCUGUUCAGAGUAACUAUUGAAAGAUAUGAAUGUAGUGUCAUUGUAAUACCUAUUCAGUCCCUGUUUUGUGGAUUAUUUCUUUGGGCUUCCUCUUUCUUUUUACUCUUUCAAUUUACAGUAAAUAAAUUUCUUGCAGAGGUAGUUUGGUGGUCACAUAUUUUUUCAGUUUCUGCCUACCUUGGAAGUUCUUUAUCUCUCCUAUUCUGAAUGACAGCCUUGCUGGAUAAAGUAUUCUUGGCUGCAUGUUAUUCUCAUUUAGUACCCUGUAUAUAUCAUACCAGCCCUUUCUGGCCUGCCAGGUCUCUGUGGAGAGCUCUGCUGUUAAUCUGAUAUUCCUCCCCAUAUACGUUAAGAAUCUCUUGUCUCACACUGCUUUAAGAAUUUUCUCUUUAUCUUUGAAAUUUGCAAGUUUCACUAUUAAAUGUCGAGGUGUUGAAUGGUUUUUAUUGAUUUGGGGAGGGGGCGUCUCUACCUGAAUGCCUAUUUCCUUCCCCAGAUUUGAGAAGUUCUCAGUUAAUGAUUUGUUCAAAUAUACUUUGUGGUCACCCCUCUCUCUCAGCCUCUUCUGGAAUCCCAAUUAGAUGCAUAUUCUUCCUUCUCAAGCUAUCAUUUAUUUCCCUAAGCUUUUCCUCAUGGUUUCUUAAUUGUUUUUCUCUUUUUUUCCCAGCUUCCUUGCCAUCAACUUGUCUUCUAUGUGACUCACUCUCUCUUCUACUUCAUUAACCCUAGAAGUUAGAACAUCCAGAUUGGAUUGCUCUCAUUUCAUCUGUUUUUAAUUUCGGCCUGAUUAGAUCUCAAUUCUGUAGUAAUGAAGUAUCUAGAGUCCUUUAUGCUUUUUUCCAGUAACUUUAUAAUUGUACUUCUGAAUUGAAUUUCUGACAUCAUAUUUAAAUCUAAAUUCUGUAACUGUGGCAGAGUAUUGUUUCUGGUUCUUUGUUUUAUGGUGAAUUCUCCCUUCUAGUCAUUUUGUCCAGUGCAGAGUGGCUGUAUGAGUGGGCUGAGUCAAAAAUAUCAACCAUGACCAAGUAAAAUACACCCUAG
This 2750-nucleotide long non-coding RNA is filed under the name Canis lupus familiaris (dog). RNAcentral describes it as "lncRNA (ENSCAFG00845013448.1)". The record is from RNAcentral. Lineage: Eukaryota; Metazoa; Chordata; Mammalia; Carnivora; Canidae.